AGCACUUGUGGGUGUUUUUGUUCAACUGGUGAACAAAGGCAACGGAGAUAAGUGUGAAAAUAAAUCCCCCCUUUUUUUGCAACCUAGAAUCCAUUGCUCAGUAUUCGUUUUGAUACAUAUAAAGAGGAACAUG
Molecule: small nucleolar RNA, 133 nt
Organism: Phodopus roborovskii (desert hamster)
Lineage: Eukaryota; Metazoa; Chordata; Mammalia; Rodentia; Cricetidae
Product: small nucleolar RNA SNORA40
Exons: 1
Source: RefSeq, a predicted model, not a curated record